UUUUUUUUUUUCAUGCAAUACUCACUCCAUGCAACCAAUGCUCUAAUGAGACUACUUUGGGGACUACCAGUUUAGCAACAAUGUGGGCUUUGGUUAAGCUUAGAACAUAAUUUUUUUUUUUUUUAAAUCUUGUCUUAAAAGAAAAGAACUAAGUCUUAAAUGUAAGUUUAUGUGAAUUUCUACAACUUCAUUUACUACGACUCUCCAUUGCUCAUACCACUUCAGUCAUCAUGGUUUCCUUAUUUUUCUUCAAAUAUGCCAAGCAUAGUCUUCCUCAAUGUCUUUGCAUUUACUGCCUUCCUUGGGAUAGUCCUCACUCAGAUAUACACAAGACUUGCUCUUCCCAUUUUCUUAAGUUCUCUGUUAAAAUGUCAUUUUAUUAAACAGACCUUCACUGACCACUCUGUAACAAAUACUAAUUCCACAACCCUUGCACUCAUAACCCUUAAUUUGCUUUAUUUCUCUUCAGUGUUCAUUGCCAUCUAACAUAUUAAGAUUUUAUUUAUUUCUUCAUGAGAAAUACACACAGAGAGAGGCAGAGACACAGGCAGAGGGAGAAGCAGGCUCCAUGCAGGGAGCCUGAUGUGGGACUUCUGGGAUUCCAGGAUCAUGCCCUGAGCCAAAGGCAGGCAAACACUGAGCCAUCCAGGUGUCCCGCCAUCUAACAUAUUAAAUAUCAAUUUAUUAAGUAUUCUCCCUUUUGCUCACAGGCUGUAAGCCCCAUGAGUGCAAAGUCUGUUUUGUUAGUGAACAAAACUUGUAUAUACUAAGCUCAAUUAGUUGUUCAAUAAUUUAAUAACCAUCACUUCUAUCUGAUGUUAUUUACUUCAUAUUCAGGUAAAUAAAGGGGGGCACCUGCCUGGCUCAGUCAGUAGAGCAUGUGACUCGAUAUCAAGGUUGUGAGUUCAAGCCCCAUGUUAUUUUUAAAAAAUUGUAAUAGUAGGGGCACCUGGGUGGCUCAGUGGGUUAAGUGUCUGCCUUCAGCUCUGGUCAUGAUCUCAGGCUCCUGGGAUCCAGCCCCACCUCAGGCCUCGCACUCAGUGGGGAGUCUGCUUCUCCUUCUCCCUCAGCCGCCCUCCACUGCUCGUGCUUGCUCUCUUUCUUGAAUAAAUAAAAUAUUUUAAAAAUAGUAAUAAAUAAAAUAAUAAAGUAGGUAAUUGAUGAAAUAGCUACAUAUCAACAUAACCAUUAAAGGAAUAGUAUUCUCCUUUAUGAUGUUAACAAUUAAUAUUUAUCAUGCCCAUAUUCUAUCUAUUAAGGUCUGACCAGUUUUAUCCAAAUAAAACUUACAAACAAACAAAAUCAAAAACUUACUCCAAGAUUCUGGAAGGUUUCAGCACUAACCUUUCAAAUUUUUCUCCUAAUCAAUAAAAUUGAUAAAAUUGUAAAAUUGCUGGAUAAUUUUAUCUUUAGAAAAUGCACAGGAAUUACUGUUAAAUUUCUCUUGAACUAUGUUUCUUUAGAUACUGGCUUACAAAAAGACUACAACUAGAAGCGCUGAAUGUAGUAACCUUGACCCUCUAAAGCAAAGGAUCCUUUUCUUCUGUGAUGUACAGGGAUUCCUUCCUAUAACCUUAGCAAUUGUCAAAUGCAUUAGUAGGUUUAGGUGUGUAAUGCUUCCACUUCCAAUUUGAAUCAUGUUACACCUUAUUUAACAGAAGUCAGCUGGUC
RNAcentral lists this long non-coding RNA (1671 nucleotides) under Canis lupus familiaris (dog). RNAcentral describes it as "lncRNA (ENSCAFG00000058739.1, ENSCAFG00845028343.1)". Lineage: Eukaryota; Metazoa; Chordata; Mammalia; Carnivora; Canidae. The record is from RNAcentral.